AAAAAGAAAUACACAACUUAAAAACAAUGGAAAAAGUAUAUUAAGAUUUAAACAUCUAUCUUAAAAUGUAAAAUAUAGAUAUUACGCAAAUAGAAAGUACAAGAAAAGUAAAUACACAAUUAAAAAAAUGGAAAAAGUACAUUAAUAUUUAAACAUCUAUCUUAAAAUGUAAAUCAAUCUUAAAAUAUAAAUUUAUUAGUAAAUAGAAAGUAUAAGAAAUAGAAAUACACAAUAUAAAGAAAAAUAAAUAAUAAGUAAAUAUAUAAUAUAAUCCUGAAAGAUGACACGUGGCAUAAAAUACAGUUUUACAUUUUAAUAUUACUUAUUUUCGAAAAUUUAUAAAAAAUAUGUAAACAUACAGCAUAAAAAAAUUGAAAAACUACAUUAAACAUAUGUAAGAUUACUAUUUUUCACUUAAAAAAAAAGACGGUCUAUCUCCAUAAUGUAACAUUACCGUUUUAUAAAAAAAACAAAAAACAUUAUAUAUAAUUUCGAAAAUAAUAAAUAUAUGUAAAACAUACAACAUAAAAAUGGAAAUACUACAUUAAACAUAUGUAAAAUUACCAUUUUACAUUUUUAUUUAAGAAAAUAAUAUGUAAACAUACAACAAAAAAAAUUGAAAAACUACAUUAAACAUAUGUAAGAUUACCAUUUUCACUAAACAAAAAGACGGCUUAUCUCCAUAAUGUAACAUUACUGUUUUGUAAAAAAAAUAUUAUAUAUAAUUUCGAAAAUAAUAAAUAAUAUGUAAACAUACAAUAUAAAAAAUGGAAAUACCACAUUAAACAUAUGUAAAAUUACCAUUUUACAUUUAAAAAUAACAAUAAUAUGUAAACAUACAACAUAAAAAAAAUAGAAAAACUACAUUAAACAUAUGUAAGAUUACCCUUGUUCACUAAAAAAACGGGUUAUCUUCAUAAUGUAACAUUACCAUUUUAUAAAAAAAAGAAAAAAAAAACAUAAAUAUAACUAUUUGACUAUUUGUCCAAGUUCUUCUAUUAAACAUUGCCGUUUUACAUUAAAAAUGGAAAAAUACGUACAAAUUUAAACAUCUAUCUUAAAAUAUAAAAUAUAGACAUUAACUAAAUAUAAAGUAUAAGAAAGAGAAAUACUCAAUAUAUAGAAAAAUAAAUAAUAAGUAAAUAUUAUAAAUAUAUAAAUAUACGAAUUAUAUAUACAAUAACAAGUAAAUGCACAAUUUUAAAAAAAUGGAAAGAGUACAUUAAAUAUUAAACAUCUAUCUUAAAAUGUAAAAUAUAGAUAUUAAGUAAAUAGAAAGUAUAAGAAA
This 1288-nucleotide long non-coding RNA is filed under the name Brassica rapa (field mustard). RNAcentral's name for it is "long non-coding RNA (BRAP_LNC000827)". The record is from RNAcentral. Lineage: Eukaryota; Viridiplantae; Streptophyta; Magnoliopsida; Brassicales; Brassicaceae.